Molecule: ribosomal RNA, 827 nt
Filed under: uncultured bacterium
Lineage: Bacteria
Description: bacterial SSU rRNA
Rfam family: Bacterial small subunit ribosomal RNA
Source: RNAcentral
AGAGUUUGAUCAUGGCUCAGGACGAACGCUGGCGGCGUGCUUAACACAUGCAAGUCGAACGAUGAUGCCCAGCUUGCUGGGUGGAUUAGUGGCGAACGGGUGAGUAACACGUGAGUAACCUGCCCCUGACUCUGGGAUAAGCGUUGGAAACGACGUCUAAUACUGGAUAUGACUGCCGGCCGCAUGGUCUGGUGGUGGAAAGAUUUUUUUGGUUGGGGAUGGACUCGCGGCCUAUCAGCUUGUUGGUGAGGUAAUGGCUCACCAAGGCGACGACGGGUAGCCGGCCUGAGAGGGUGACCGGCCACACUGGGACUGAGACACGGCCCAGACUCCUACGGGAGGCAGCAGUGGGGAAUAUUGCACAAUGGGCGAAAGCCUGAUGCAGCAACGCCGCGUGAGGGAUGACGGCCUUCGGGUUGUAAACCUCUUUUAGUAGGGAAGAAGCGUAAGUGACGGUACCUGCAGAAAAAGCACCGGCUAACUACGUGCCAGCAGCCGCGGUAAUACGUAGGGUGCAAGCGUUGUCCGGAAUUAUUGGGCGUAAAGAGCUCGUAGGCGGUUUGUCGCGUCUGCUGUGAAAUCCCGAGGCUCAACCUCGGGCUUGCAGUGGGUACGGGCAGACUAGAGUGCGGUAGGGGAGAUUGGAAUUCCUGGUGUAGCGGUGGAAUGCGCAGAUAUCAGGAGGAACACCGAUGGCGAAGGCAGAUCUCUGGGCCGUAACUGACGCUGAGGAGCGAAAGCGUGGGGAGCGAACAGGAUUAGAUACCCUGGUAGUCCACGCCGUAAACGUUGGGCGCUAGAUGUAGGGACCUUUCCACGGUUUCUGU